RNAcentral lists this long non-coding RNA (449 nucleotides) under Homo sapiens (human). RNAcentral's name for it is "HSALNT0276591". The record is from RNAcentral. Lineage: Eukaryota; Metazoa; Chordata; Mammalia; Primates; Hominidae.
GUUGCCUUGAGCAGCAGAUUUUGCCACCUCUGUUCCAGUCUGUGCAGUGAAGAUGAAAAGACCCUUCUCUUCUCUUGAGAGAGCUUUUCCUGACCACGCUGAGAGGGAGGUGUGACUACGGAAGAAUGGCUGGAGAGAGGCAACGCUGCUUGGCUUUGAAGAUGGAAGGAGAAAGCCAGGAGCUAAGGAAUGCAGUAACCUCCAGGAUCUGGAAGAGGCAAGAGGACAGGAGCUCCUCUAGAGUCUCUGGAAAGGAGCACAGCCCCAGCACCUCGAUUUUAGCCCAGUCUGACCCAUGGCUGCCUUCAGACCUCCGGAACUGUCAAUUCAUAAAUUGGUUUUGUUUUAAGCCUUAUAAGUUUGUGGUAAUUUGUUACAGCAGCAUUAGGAAACUAAUACAGUGGAAGACAGUUCCAGGCAGAGGGAACAGCAUGUGCAAAGGCCUGGAG